UAAACGAAUGAAUUCAUCCAUCGUAUAUCCUCGGCAAUAUGGGCCGAGAGUCUCUACCAGGAGCCGCAAAUUCCUGACUACGAAGGAUGUGGGACACCCA
Molecule: non-coding RNA, 100 nt
Filed under: Cohnella sp.
Lineage: Bacteria; Bacillati; Bacillota; Bacilli; Caryophanales; Paenibacillaceae
Description: Guanine sequence
Rfam family: Purine riboswitch aptamer
About the family: Riboswitches are metabolite binding domains within certain messenger RNAs that serve as precision sensors for their corresponding targets.
Source: RNAcentral